CCCACAGGCCGUAAACCCAAGGUUUCCAGGGGAAGGUUCGUCCGCCCUGGGUUAGUCGGGACCUAAGCUGAGGCCGAAAGGCGUAGGUGAUGGACAACAGGUUGAUAUUCCUGUACUACCGAUAACCGUUUGAGAGAAGGGAUGACACAGUAGGAUAAGCUAAGCACACUGUUGGUUAUGUGUGCCCAAGCAUUGAGGCAGUCAAAGUAGGCAAAUCCGCUUUGAUAAUGCUGGGAUGGGAUGGGGAGCGAAAUUUAGUAGCGAAGUAGCUGAUUUCACACUGUCAAGAAAAGUCCCUAUCGAGGUUAAAGGUACCCGUACCGCAAACCGACACAGGUGGGUGAGGAGAGUAUCCUAAGGCCAGCG
RNAcentral lists this ribosomal RNA (366 nucleotides) under Clostridioides difficile. RNAcentral describes it as "bacterial LSU rRNA". It matches the Rfam family "Bacterial large subunit ribosomal RNA", at positions 1329 to 1692 of the family's 2925-position model. The record is from RNAcentral. Lineage: Bacteria; Bacillati; Bacillota; Clostridia; Peptostreptococcales; Peptostreptococcaceae.